This 482-nucleotide ribosomal RNA is filed under the name uncultured bacterium. RNAcentral describes it as "partial 16S ribosomal RNA". It matches the Rfam family "Bacterial small subunit ribosomal RNA", at positions 30 to 507 of the family's 1533-position model. The record is from RNAcentral.
AUUGAACGCUGGCGGCAUGCUUUACACAUGCAAGUCGAACGGUAACAUGCCGCAAGGUUCUGACGAGUGGCGAACGGGUGAGUAAUGCAUCGGAGCGUGCCCAGUCGUGGGGGAUAACUACUCGAAAGAGUAGCUAAUACCGCAUACGAUCUAUGGAUGAAAGCGGGGGACCGUAAGGCCUCGCGCGAUUGGAGCGGCCGAUGUCAGAUUAGGUAGUUGGUGGGGUAAAGGCUCACCAAGCCAACGAUCUGUAGCUGGUCUGAGAGGACGACCAGCCACACUGGGACUGAGACACGGCCCAGACUCCUACGGGAGGCAGCAGUGGGGAAUUUUGGACAAUGGGCGCAAGCCUGAUCCAGCAAUGCCGCGUGCAGGAAGAAGGUCUUCGGGUUGUAAACUGCUUUUGUACGGAACGAAACGGCUCUGGUUAAUACCCGGGGCUAAUGACGGUACCGUAAGAAUAAGCACCGGCUAACUACGUG